RNAcentral lists this ribosomal RNA (468 nucleotides) under uncultured bacterium. RNAcentral's name for it is "partial 16S ribosomal RNA". It matches the Rfam family "Bacterial small subunit ribosomal RNA", at positions 28 to 507 of the family's 1533-position model. The record is from RNAcentral.
GAUGAACGCUGGCGGCGUGCUUAACACAUGCAAGUCGAACGGUGAAGGCGGAGCUUGCUCUGCUGGAUCAGUGGCGAACGGGUGAGUAACACGUGAGCAAUCUGCCCCUGACUCUGGGAUAAGCGCUGGAAACGGCGUCUAAUACUGGAUACGAGCUGCGAAGGCAUCUUCAGCAGCUGGAAAGAAUUUCGGUCAGGGAUGAGCUCGCGGCCUAUCAGCUUGUUGGUGAGGUAAUGGCUCACCAAGGCGUCGACGGGUAGCCGGCCUGAGAGGGUGACCGGCCACACUGGGACUGAGAAACGGCCAAGACUCCUACGGGAGGCAGCAGUGGGGAAUAUUGCAAAAUGGGCGAAAGCCUGAUGCAGCAACGCCGCGUGAGGGACGACGGCCUUCGGGUUGUAAACCUCUUUUAGCAGGGAAGAAGCGAAAGUGACGGUACCUGCAGAAAAAGCGCCGGCUAACUACGUG